RNAcentral lists this non-coding RNA (102 nucleotides) under Caloramator quimbayensis. Its description in RNAcentral is "TPP sequence". It matches the Rfam family "TPP riboswitch aptamer (THI element)". Rfam says of the family: Vitamin B(1) in its active form thiamin pyrophosphate (TPP) is an essential coenzyme that is synthesised by coupling of pyrimidine and thiazole moieties in bacteria. The previously detected thiamin-regulatory element, thi box was extended, resulting in a new, highly conserved RNA secondary structure, the THI element, which is widely distributed in eubacteria and also occurs in some archaea. The record is from RNAcentral. Lineage: Bacteria; Bacillati; Bacillota; Clostridia; Eubacteriales; Clostridiaceae.
GCCGUUUGCUAGGGGAGCUUUAAGCUGAGAGGAAGGUCAAACCUUCGACCCUCUGAACCUGAACUGGGUAAUUCCAGCGAAGGGAAGCAUUAUAGUUCUCCU